RNAcentral lists this ribosomal RNA (428 nucleotides) under uncultured prokaryote. Its description in RNAcentral is "bacterial SSU rRNA". It matches the Rfam family "Bacterial small subunit ribosomal RNA", at positions 355 to 774 of the family's 1533-position model. The record is from RNAcentral.
UCGAGGAUAUUUAGCAAUGCUCGAAAGAGUGACUAUGCGACGCCGCGUGUGCGAUGAAGGUCUUCGGAUCGUAAAGCACUGUCGACCGGGAGGAAUCUCUGGAGGCUUAAUAAGCUUGCAGGGUGACAGUACCGGUAGAGGAAGCCACGGCUAACUCCGUGCCAGCAGCCGCGGUAAUACGGAGGUGGCAGGCGUUACUCGGAUUGAUUGGGUGUAAAGGGUGGGUAGGCGGGUCUGCAAGUCGGAUGUGAAAUUCCCGGGCUUAACUCGGGCAGGUCAUCCGAAACUGCGGAUCUUGAGUACUGGAGAGGAUAGUGGAAUUCCUAGUGUAGCGGUAAAAUGCGUAGAUAUUAGGAGGAACACCAGUGGCGAAGGCGGCUAUCUGGACAGUAACUGACGCUGAGGCGCGAAAGCGUGGGGAGCAAACA